This 253-nucleotide ribosomal RNA is filed under the name uncultured bacterium. RNAcentral describes it as "partial 16S ribosomal RNA". It matches the Rfam family "Bacterial small subunit ribosomal RNA", at positions 524 to 776 of the family's 1533-position model. The record is from RNAcentral.
UACGUAGGGUGCGAGCGUUAAUCGGAAUUACUGGGCGUAAAGCGUGCGCAGGCGGCUUUGCAAGACAGAUGUGAAAUCCCCGGGCUCAACCUGGGAACUGCAUUUGUGACUGCAAGGCUAGAGUACGGCAGAGGGGGAUGGAAUUCCGCGUGUAGUAGUGAAAUGCGUAGAUAUGCGGAGGAACACCAAUGGCGAAGGCAAUCCCCUGGGCCUGUACUGACGCUCAUGCACGAAAGCGUGGGGAGCAAACAGG